GGUUGUAGCUCAGUGGUAGAGUGCUUGUCUAGCAUCUGUGAGGCACUGGGUUCAAUUCUCAGCACCA
RNAcentral lists this transfer RNA (67 nucleotides) under Marmota monax (woodchuck). Its description in RNAcentral is "tRNA.Ala". Lineage: Eukaryota; Metazoa; Chordata; Mammalia; Rodentia; Sciuridae. The record is from RNAcentral.